Mus musculus (house mouse) is the source of this 5538-nucleotide long non-coding RNA. RefSeq annotates it as predicted gene, 35150. NCBI's taxonomy places the organism in Eukaryota, Metazoa, Chordata, Mammalia, Rodentia, Muridae. The record is from RefSeq and is a predicted model, not a curated record. The transcript has 2 exons.
UUAAAAAAAAAAAAAAAAAAAAAAAGGGUUGUGUUGAUUUUAAAACCCUGGGACCUGUAGAGACUUAGUGGAUAAGAGCAACUCUUGCCCUUGCAAAGAACUCAGGUUGGAUACCCACAGGUAGUGGGUCACAACCAUGUGACUCCAAUUUCAGAAGAUCUAGUACUCUCUUCUGCCUCCUCAGGCACCAGUUGUACAAGUGGUACUCACAUAUGCAUACGACAUUUUAAAGAAGGAUAUAUAUGUAUACACACGCGCGCGCGCAUAAUUUUGCUUGGCCUGAAACUUACAAUGUAGACCAUACUGGUCUGAAAUUCACAAAGACCCUCCUGUUUUUGCCUACCUAAUGCUGGUGCUAAAGGUGUAUGCUAUCACACCCUACUUAAAUAAACCUUUUUUAAAAAAUGAAUUUAAAUGGGGCUGGAGAGAUGGCUUAGUGGUUAAGAGCACUGACUGCUCUUCCAGACAUUCUGAGUUCAAUUCCCUGCAAUCACAUGAUGGCUCACAACCAUCUGUAAUAGGAUCUGAUGCCCUCUUCUGGUGUGUCUGAACAGCUACAGUGUACUCACAUAUAUAAAAUAAAUAAAUAAUUCUUUUUAAAAAAAUUAGUUAAAAUGUAGCUGAAUAGGUAGCACAUAAGUUAAGAGCACUAGAUACAACUGCAGAGGAUCUGAGUUCAAUUCCUAGCAUCAGCUCACAGCUGUCUACAACUUCAGUUCCAGGGAAUCCAGUGCGCUUUUCUGGCCUCUGGUCCCCAGCAUGUAGUACACAGACAUACACACAAGGAAAACAUCUAUACAUGUAAGAAUUUAAAAAUAAAUAAAAUAAAAAUAUAUACAUUAUAUAAAUAAAAUUAUAUGCAUAUAUAUACACAUAUACAUAUUCCACAAGUAAAAUCUUCCCAUCUGUAUAGUAAACACUCCAAGUGGAGGGAUUUUAGUAUUAGUUGUGUUGGCCACAAGGCAGCAUGUUCCCCAGGAUACUUAUGAAUGCCACCUAAAACAAAUCUUAAAUCUUACUUAAAAUGAUGAGGUGAAGGUUUUGCAAUUUAUUUUUAGUAGCUCUGUCUUAGUCAGGGUUUCUAUUCCUGCACAAACAUCAUGACCAAGAAGUAGUUGGGGAGGAAAGAGUUUAUUCAGCUUACACUUCCAUACUGCUGUUCAUCACCAAGGAAGUCAGGACUGGAACUCAAGCAGGUCAGGAAGCAGGAGCUGAUGCAGAGGCCAUGGAGGGAUGUUCUUUACUAGCUUGCUUCCCCUGGCUUGCUCAGCCUGCUCUCUUAUAGAACCCAAGACUGCCAGCCCAGAGAUGGUCCCACCCACAAGGGGCCUUUCCCCCUUGAUCACUAAUUGAGAAAAUACCCCACAGCUUGAUCUAACGGAGGUACUUCCCCAACUGAAGCUCCUUUCUCUGUGAUAACCCCAGCCUGUGUCAAGUUGACACAUAAAACCAGCCAGUACAAGCUCUAUUGGGGUUCUCCAGUGUGACCUUUGUAGGUGGCAACCUUAUGCCUCAAUUUCAAAUUUCAAAAGGUUGACCAUACCUAAAUGACCUUAAAACUCUCCUUUCUUUCCCCAUCCUUCUGGUAAGCAUUCACCUGAAAUCAAGGAUGUUUCCCUUUCUCUUUCUUUAUAAGUGUGUGUGUGUGUGUGUGUGUGUGUGUGUCCCUGUAUGGGUUUGUGCACAUGAGUGCAAAGCCUUCAGAGUCCAGAAGAGGGCAUUGGAUCCUGGUGUGGGCACGGAGCUUCUUGUAAUCACUAGGACUGGGUAUAUUCAGCAUGCAGGGGUGUCUCCCCAAUGAAGGAAAUUAAAAAAACAAAAAAACAAAAAAACAUUUAUUUCAUCCAGAAAGCCAGGAGUGGGUUUUGUUAACAGCCUGAUAAACUCUUUGCUGUCUAUGGAGUAGCUCUCACCCAGUCCCCAGCAUGACUGUCCCAGACUCUCCUCCCUAGGCCAUUACCCAUCCUUAGGGGAGGUCACAUGUACUCUAUAGCCUUGUUGAGCUCUAUGCUGUGGGUCAGAGACCACACUAGAUUCUAGUCCUUUUAGCUAAGGAACCCACCCUCACAGUCACAUGUAGUCCGUAAAGGAGUUUCUAUGUAGUCACACCUUAAGCUUUAUUGAGUACCUGGAGUUGGUCUGAUUGGACCAAUUGUUGCCUGGAAACCUUUUCCCACAUCGUACUGUGUUUUAAAUAUGCUGACAAUGAGCUACCUGGUAUUAGAGUCCCCGAAGUCUGAUCCAGAUUGACUAAGUCAGUCUGCGCUGGGUUCUCACUCUUACCUCUUCGCCUCCCCACGUGAUCCCUCAGGGACCCUCUGAGGACCUCCUGGAGCUAGAGUUACAGGUAGCUGUGUAUCCCCUGAGGUCGGUGAUGGAGACUGAACUCAGGUCUUCUGACAGAGCCGGAAAUGCUCUUAAUCACAAUGACAUCUCUCUCCUUCCCCAGAGGUGGCUUUUAAAUUUGAUUUUCUUAAACAUUUCUUCCUUAAUUAGUACAUACUUAUAUUUUGAAUAUAUGUAAAAAGAGAGAAAAAAAAAGAAAGAAAAGAAAAGUUACCUAUAACCCAUAUGACUCUUUGGUGUGUUUCCUUCCAGAUUUUUUCUCUAUGUGAAUAUUCAUCUAUAAAUAUACUUUGGUAUGUAUUACCAUUUUCUCUUAGUAGCACAUUAGCAUUUCCCUAUUAAUACACAAUUAUAAAAUGGUUGUGCAGUGUUCCACUAGUCUUUCCUUUUGCUUUUUCUAUUUUUGGUUUGUUACUUGACAUUAUAAAUAAAGCAGUAGGGAGAGGCGUGAAAGUGAAUUUGGAGAGGGAAGAAGAAUAUUUUUCUCUCAGUUUUCAUGCUUUGAUUUUAAUUUUUUAUCGUUUAAGAAUGUAAUAGAUGCAUACAAUAUAUGCUGAUCAUAUCUAUCUGCCACUUCCCCUUCCAGAUCUCCCAGGACUCUCGAUACAUCCCAACUUCAAGACCUGUAUUGAUAGAUAUAGAUAUCUAGCUAUCCCACCGAGUGCUAUUUAGUGCUGUCUCCAUGCACAUAGAUGUAGGUCCAUCCAUUGGAGCACAGGCAACCUCCCAGUGGCCACACCCUCAAAGGAGAAAGACUCUCCAUCUCUCAGCAACCAUUGCUUCUCAGCUAGCAGCGGGGCCUCCUUAAGCCCAUCCUUUAUCCACAGUGGGAUUUUGACUGGUUUGGUCCUAACCACCACCAAUCAGGAGGAAAGCAGAAGUUAAAUUUGUGAUUUGGCUCCCAGCACCAGCCAAUUAGGCUAAAGGCCACAGUACCCCCCCCCCCCAUUAGAUUCUUGCUAGGCUAGAAACUCUCACCCUUCACUUGAUAUUUUCUUUAAAACCUUGCCCCAAUGUGUGUUUGGCGCUUUUCUCCACCCGAACGGGUCCUGUUAGUCAAGUCCCAAGCUCAACCUUGUGAAUAGAGACCCUCUUGUGAUUGUAUCCGAUCGGCUCCUGUCUGGUCUUUCAGGGUUCACGAAUGUUUUUCACUGGCAGGUCAAAACAGAGGGGUAUUCUAAGCAUACAGAUCGCAUAAUAUUGAGUGAAAAAGACUAGACUGUGGCUGAAUGUAGACACGGAGAAGGAAGACUUAAGGGUCAGACUGUGAAGUCCUUAUACGUUAAGGAUUCAGGUUACUAUUCCAAAGGCAAAGAUGACAGGUAAAGGUUUCUGCAGGGUGCUUCAAACUGAAUGAAGUUCACUAAGAUGACAGGGACACACUAAGAUGACAGGGACAGUGUGAUACAGGAGUCUCCAGUCUGCGGCACUUAGCUGAAUCCUGUCAGUUGCUUGGUUUUUGCUUGUAUGUUUGUCUGUUUCUUUCUUUCCUUUUCUUUUCUUUUCUUUUCUUUUCUUUUCUUUUCUUUUCUUCUCUUCUCUUUUCCUUUCGUUUUUUUUCCUUUCUUUCUUUCUUUCUUUCUUUCUUUCUUUCUUUCUUUCUUUUUUUUUUUUUUUUGCCGUGGGGGUGGAGGGAAGGUUUGAAAGAUACAACCCCAAAGACCCAAAUCCUGAAGGUUGAAAUUCUGAAAUCCUCAACUGUAAUUCUAAUUAGGGGACAGGGAAAGGCUGUUUAAGAGAGGUGUGCCGAUUUGGGGAAAUGGAUAAGUGAGUUUGGAAUUGUACAUGGGAUAAUUGUAUCCUUUCUGGUGCAAUAAAUACCUAGACACUUGCGGAGCAUCGCUUGGGAGUAUCAAUGAGAGAGUUCCCAGAGGUGCUCAGUGCCGGCUGCUGAGUAGAGAGGGCAGGAAAAGCGCAUGCUCAAUAUUGGCGGGCAUCUUCCAGUGCUGGAGCAGUCAGGAUCAGUUUUCCAAUCAUCUACAUCUGCUUUCCUGCUACUGUAGAUGAACUAAGUAGUCGAAGAGACUCCGUGUCCUUCAAAGCUUAAACCAUUUCAUACCUCAAUCUCUAUGGUGUACACAGCGUUUGGGGGCGGGGAGGCAAACAUGGAUGUGAGUCCUAUCCCCAACCCCCAGUUUCUGCCCUUCUUGUCUCAGGGACCAACCCGUACGCGUAUCACUCAAUGUCGUUCUCCAACUUCAGGUCUUUAGUCAACAAGAAUAGCCAGCUGAAGACAGAAGAGAAGUGAAGUUAAGGUGUAUUGAUCCACCCGAGUUCCUGGGCUCCAGUUCUCGCGAUCUCUAAUAAAAUAUUAUUUUGGGCGUAAGGGUGAUAAUGGUUUGCUAGUUCCUGUGUUCUUCAACAUUCCUUUAUGGCUCCCUUUGUCCAUGGCUUUGUAAAGUUUCUUCUAUUUAAAAACUGGUAUAUUUUCUGUUCCUAUCCAGAAAAAAACUGACCAAAGUCUAUGUUCAGUAUGAGGGCGUUGGGAAGGACGGGGAAGAGAGGUUUAACAGGGAAGGAUGAAAAGGAUACAUUUGAAAGAACAUAGGAGGUAAAAUGGUCCCGACUUGACCAUAGGUUGGGGAAAGCAAGGGGUGGAUAUUUUCAUUGCUCCUGUUUUGUGCGUUUUCUUCAGGGACAAUUGACAACAGGGAAGCUAUCGGGAUCAUUGUUGCUGCCCCCCACCCCCACCGCAGAUAUUUUGUUGUGGAAGAAUGACAAACAGGAUGCCUCUGGGGCAUGUUGAAUUACGCAGAGCCUUGGGAUGAUUCCACAGUGGAGUGGGUCAGUGACUGGUAGUUGUGUGAAUCUGGAACUUGGCGAAGACGUGGGCUGAGACGUCUCCUUCAACUGAAAGCUUCGCAGUUUGCUCUCAGGAAGAAGCACACACCAUCUGCUCUGAGGAUCUUCCGUUGACAGCCUGGCCGGGGUCAUGCUAGGAUUCAGAAAUUGCUGAGUGUGAAAGGGGCCUGAGGGAUGGGUCAGAAGAGGGCAUUGGCGGCAAGGAUCAAGAGUUUCCACGGAAUAAUCUCAACACAAGCAGUUCGGGCGAGGGUGGUGGAUUUUAGUACAACUCCUUGUCAGUCACACCUUGCCCUGCAGGCAGCCUCUGGGGACUUGCGUCAGACCCAUGGAGAAGCAGUAACAGUGAUCAAAUAUUAAAACUUCAUUAAAGUCUCUGUAAAAAGCCUA